GUGCUUGCUUUGGCAGCACAUAUAUUAAAAGUGGAACAGUGGAGAGAAGAUUAGCAUGGCCCUUGUACAAGAAUGAUAGGCAAAUUAAUUUUUU
Small nuclear RNA from Fukomys damarensis (Damara mole-rat), 94 nucleotides. The record is from Ensembl. Lineage: Eukaryota; Metazoa; Chordata; Mammalia; Rodentia; Bathyergidae.